RNAcentral lists this ribosomal RNA (765 nucleotides) under Clostridioides difficile. RNAcentral describes it as "partial 23S ribosomal RNA". It matches the Rfam family "Bacterial large subunit ribosomal RNA", at positions 251 to 1020 of the family's 2925-position model. The record is from RNAcentral. Lineage: Bacteria; Bacillati; Bacillota; Clostridia; Peptostreptococcales; Peptostreptococcaceae.
GAGCGAACGCGGAUUAGCCCAAACCAAUAAAGUUUUCUUUAUUGGGGUUGCGGACAUAUCAUAACGAAGAGGUAUCGUAAUUGAAGAGGUUUGGAAAGACCCACCACAGAAGGUAAUAGUCCUGUAUGUUAAACGAGAAGACUUCAGAUAUGAUCCAGAGUACCACGGGACACGUGAAACCCUGUGGGAAGCAGGAGGGACCACCCUCCAAGGCUAAAUACUACCUAGUGACCGAUAGCGUAUAGUACCGUGAGGGAAAGGUGAAAAGAACCCCGGGAGGGGAGUGAAAUAGAACCUGAAACCCUGCACUUACAAGCUGUGGAAGCACAUUUCUUGUGUGACCGCGUACUUUUUGUAGAACGGGCCAACGAGUUACGUUAAGUAGCAAGGUUAAGCACUUAAGGUGCGGAGCCGUAGCGAAAGCGAGUUUUAACUGAGCGUUCAGUUACUUGACGUAGACCCGAAACCGGGCGACCUACCCAUGAGCAGGAUGAAGCGAAAGUAAAAUUUCGUGGAGGUCCGAACCCACGAGCGUUGAAAAGCUCGGGGAUGACUUGUGGGUAGCGGUGAAAUUCCAAUCGAGCCCGGAGAUAGCUGGUUCUCCCCGAAAUAGCUUUAGGGCUAGCCUCAAGGUGAGAGAUACGGAGGUAGAGCACUGAAUGUCCUAGGGGGUAUUGCACCUACCGAAGACUAUCAAACUCCGAAUGCCGUCAUCUUAUACUUGGGAGUCAGACUGUGGGUGAUAAGAUUCAUAGUCGAAAGGGC